AUGGACCUCCGCUGGUCCGUCGAGGUCAAGGGCGGCGAGACCCUGAGAUCAGCGCCCGUGCUGAACGGCCGCCGCGGCGUCGUCACCUACGUGUCCCUCGUCCACACGCCGCCGAGCGCAGUUGGCGGCCAGCGCGUCGUCGUGGAAGCCUACGUCAAGACUAUCGACGGCACCCUCGAGCUGGCGUCGCUGUCGUCCGAGAGGCCGCACGCGGAGCUGCCGCGCCCGGUGCUGGUGAUGGGCCUCGAUCUCUUUUGCUCUCGCGUGAGGCGGCAGGGCGGCGACCCCGCGGAUGGUGAUGUGGCGGUCGCCGUUCGGUUUGAGGGUCGUUGCUUCAACGACGGUUACGUUCUUCCUCCGCCGUCGCCGCUGCCGUUGGAGGACGAAGAGGAUCAUAUGCUGUGGUCGUCGGAGGAUGACGACGAUGACAACAGCGGGGCAGAGGACGACGAGUCGGUGGGUUCGGAUUCGGAAGACUACGACGACGAUGACAGCAGCGGCGAGGAGGAGGAGGAGAGCGACGACGAGGUUGACGGACAAGCGGGCAUGGAGAGCAGCGCCGACAACGACGUGCUGCUACAGAUGGUACACCCCAGCAAGUUCGUCCUCGAGGGAGGUUCGGCGCCGCGGUUCGCCGCCGCCGGGAAGACGGCCGGCUUCAUGCAGGUCACCGCCACGGAGAGGCAAUACGAAGCAGACCCCAUGCAGAUACUCGUGCUCUUCCGCUACACCCGCUUCUCGCCAUCAUCGUGCGGCGUGGAAGCGCGCAGGAGCACGAAGGAGCACCAGCUCCGGUUCAUAGCCACCGGCGACCACACGGCGAGGUCGCUGGCUUGGACCGGAUCGUCGCUGGGCCUGCUGAUAUACCCCCAUGGCUUCAGGAAGAAGCUCCAGGAGCUAUGGUCCAGCUUGGCGUCGAAGGUGAGCGUCCCGCCGGGAGCAAGACGCGUCGAGGUGUUCGUCGACGUUGGCCUCCUCCGGCGGGCGGAGUACACGCUAGCGAGCAUGCGGCACAUGUGCGCCGCGCUGGAGGGCAUGGUGGCGAAGCCGUGGCCCGGGCGCUUCACCGGGAUGGAGCUGUACUUGCCGGAGCCGGUACGGUGCGGCAGGGACGCCGACGAGCGGCCGACAAAGCAGAGGAAGGUCGAUGCAGCCGGGCAGGAGUGCUGCAUGGACGUCGGUGAACAGCCAGCGAAGCGAAGGAGGGCUGUCGCCGCCGGGGAGGAUUGCCCCGUCUGCUGGCAGCUGCUGGAGGGCGACGACCUCGCCGCGUGGCCGGGCUGCGGCAAGCCCCACGUCUUCCAUGGCGCGUGCCUCGAGCAAGUCCUCAAGAUGAGCGAGACGUGCCCGCUCUGCAGGCGCAACCUGUACUUUGAGCGGUUGAGCCCAAGAUGA
This 1395-nucleotide ribosomal RNA is filed under the name Triticum aestivum (bread wheat). RNAcentral's name for it is "partial small subunit ribosomal RNA". The record is from RNAcentral. Lineage: Eukaryota; Viridiplantae; Streptophyta; Magnoliopsida; Poales; Poaceae.